UGGGGAAUAUUGCACAAUGGGCGGAAGCCUGAUGCAGCGACGCCGCGUGAGGGAUGACGGCCUUCGGGUUGUAAACCUCUUUCAGUAGGGACGAAGCGCAAGUGACGGUACCUACAGAAGAAGCACCGGCCAACUACGUGCCAGCAGCCGCGGUAAUACGUAGGGUGCGAGCGUUGUCCGGAUUUACUGGGCGUAAAGAGCUCGUAGGCGGUUUGUCACGUCGUCUGUGAAAACCCGAGGCUUAACCUCGGGCCUGCAGGCGAUACGGGCAGACUUGAGUACUGUAGGGGAGACUGGAAUUCCUGGUGUAGCGGUGGAAUGCGCAGAUAUCAGGAGGAACACCGGUGGCGAAGGCGGGUCUCUGGGCAGUAACUGACGCUGAGGAGCGAAAGCGUGGGUAGCGAACAGGA
RNAcentral lists this ribosomal RNA (410 nucleotides) under Actinomycetes bacterium. RNAcentral describes it as "Actinobacteria bacterium partial 16S ribosomal RNA". It matches the Rfam family "Bacterial small subunit ribosomal RNA", at positions 355 to 777 of the family's 1533-position model. The record is from RNAcentral. Lineage: Bacteria; Bacillati; Actinomycetota; Actinomycetes.